UUUGAAAGUUUCUGGUUUGAGGAGAUGUAUUUUUCCAGUUCUUUUGCUUUACCUUCCUGUUUGAUUUUUCUCUUGAAUACCUCUGAUACUCUGUUCUUCUUCUUCUUCUUCUUCUUCUUCUUCUUCUUCUUCUUCUUCUUCUUCUUCUUCUUCUUCUUCUUCUUCUUCUUUUCAAUUGUUUAUUGCUGUACCAAUGCUUGACAUGUAGUUUAAAUUAAAAUGCAUUAAUGACAGA
Molecule: long non-coding RNA, 235 nt
Filed under: Musa acuminata (dwarf banana)
Lineage: Eukaryota; Viridiplantae; Streptophyta; Magnoliopsida; Zingiberales; Musaceae
Description: long non-coding RNA (MACU_LNC006615)
Source: RNAcentral